This 810-nucleotide ribosomal RNA is filed under the name uncultured Nesterenkonia sp. Its description in RNAcentral is "bacterial SSU rRNA". It matches the Rfam family "Bacterial small subunit ribosomal RNA", at positions 1 to 821 of the family's 1533-position model. Lineage: Bacteria; Bacillati; Actinomycetota; Actinomycetes; Micrococcales; Micrococcaceae. The record is from RNAcentral.
AUUAGAGUUUGAUCCUGGCUCAGGAUGAACGCUGGCGGCGUGCUUAACACAUGCAAGUCGAACGAUGAAGCCUGGUGCUUGCACCGGGUGGAUUAGUGGCGAACGGGUGAGUAUCACGUGAGUAACCUACCCUUGACUCUGGGAUAAGCCCGGGAAACUGGGUCUAAUACCGGAUAUGACCAGUCACCGCAUGGUGUGCUGGUGGAAAGCUUUAGCGGUUUUGGAUGGACUCGCGGCCUAUCAGCUAGACGGUGAGGUAAUGGCUCACCGUGGCGAUGACGGGUAGCCGGCCUGAGAGGGUGACCGGCCACACUGGGACUGAGACACGGCCCAGACUCCUACGGGAGGCAGCAGUGGGGAAUAUUGCACAAUGGGCGCAAGCCUGAUGCAGCGACGCCGCGUGUGGGAUGACGGCCUUCGGGUUGUAAACCACUUUCAGCAGGGAAGAAGCUUUUUGUGACGGUACCUGCAGAAGAAGCGCCGGCUAACUACGUGCCAGCAGCCGCGGUAAUACGUAGGGCGCGAGCGUUAUCCGGAAUUAUUGGGCGUAAAGAGCUCGUAGGCGGUUUGUCACGUCUGCUGUGAAAGCCCGGGGCUUAACCCCGGGUGUGCAGUGCGUACGGGCAGACUGGAGUGCAGUAGGGGAGACUGGAAUUCCUGGUGUAGCGGUGAAAUGCGCAGAUAUCAGGAGGAACACCGAUGGCGAAAGGCAGGUCUCUGGGCUGUUACUGACGCUGAGGAGCGAAAGCAUGGGGAGCGAACAGGAUUAGAUACCCUGGUAGUGCAUGCCGUAAACGUUGGGCACUAGGU